RNAcentral lists this transfer RNA (67 nucleotides) under Chasmodes bosquianus (striped blenny). RNAcentral describes it as "tRNA-Ser". The record is from RNAcentral. Lineage: Eukaryota; Metazoa; Chordata; Actinopteri; Blenniiformes; Blenniidae.
AAGAGAGGCUUGAAGCAAUGAAGACUGCUAAUCUUCACAACCUUAGUUAAAAUCUAAGGCUCCCUUG